GCUGAAGAAGACGGAGACCAGAGUGAAGAACCCAUUGCCAACCAAAGAAAGUGAGUGAAUCUUGUCCAUCUAUCUCUGUGAUGAAUCUGCUUGAGCAAUCGACCAAGAGAGGAAACGAGAGCCAUCGCCUUGACCAGAGGAAGAGAAGUGUUUCCGACCAGCUACUUUAAUUUGAUUCUCUGACCUCCAUCUGUCAAGAACCAUAACUAUGAAGGGAGAACAGGACCUAGACUUUUAUCACACUGGUGCUCAACGAAAUUGUAAAAUGAGGGGUAUUAGGAUUGGUUGCUAGUCAGAGGAUGUUUUCGAAACACUUAUUGCUCAAUGUUUUGUAUGUCUCCAAGUCAGAGUAAUAAAAUAUGACAAAAAUA
Oncorhynchus nerka (sockeye salmon) is the source of this 371-nucleotide long non-coding RNA. RefSeq lists it as uncharacterized. The transcript has 2 exons. The record is from RefSeq and is a predicted model, not a curated record. Lineage: Eukaryota; Metazoa; Chordata; Actinopteri; Salmoniformes; Salmonidae.